RNAcentral lists this ribosomal RNA (474 nucleotides) under uncultured bacterium. RNAcentral's name for it is "bacterial SSU rRNA". It matches the Rfam family "Bacterial small subunit ribosomal RNA", at positions 38 to 518 of the family's 1533-position model. The record is from RNAcentral.
CGCUGGGCGGCGUGCUUAACACAUGCAAGUCGAACGGAGUUUAGAUGAAACCUAGUGAUUCUAAACUUAGUGGCGGACGGGUGAGUAACGCGUGGGUAACCUGCCAUAUACAGGGGGAUAACACUUAGAAAUAGGUGCUAAUACCGCAUAAGCGCACAGGACUGCAUGGUCUGGUGUGAAAAACUCCGGUGGUAUAUGAUGGACCCGCGUCUGAUUAGCUAGUUGGUGAGGUAACGGCCCACCAAGGCGACGAUCAGUAGCCGGCCUGAGAGGGUGAACGGCCACAUUGGGACUGAGACACGGCCCAAACUCCUACGGGAGGCAGCAGUGGGGAAUAUUGCACAAUGGGGGAAACCCUGAUGCAGCGACGCCGCGUGAGUGAAGAAGUAUUUCGGUAUGUAAAGCUCUAUCAGCAGGAAAGAAAAUGACGGUACCUGACUAAGAAGCCCCGGCUAACUACGUGCCAGCCGCCGC